Molecule: ribosomal RNA, 840 nt
Filed under: Streptomyces sp. XJ 11074
Lineage: Bacteria; Bacillati; Actinomycetota; Actinomycetes; Kitasatosporales; Streptomycetaceae
Description: bacterial SSU rRNA
Rfam family: Bacterial small subunit ribosomal RNA
Source: RNAcentral
CGAACGAUGAAGCCGCUUCGGUGGUGGAUUAGUGGCGAACGGGUGAGUAACACGUGGGCAAUCUGCCCUCCACUCUGGGACAAGCCCUGGAAACGGGGUCUAAUACCGGAUAUGACACACGGCCGCAUGGUCUGUGUGUGGAAAGCUCCGGCGGUGGAGGAUGAGCCCGCGGCCUAUCAGCUUGUUGGUGGGGUGAUGGCCUACCAAGGCGACGACGGGUAGCCGGCCUGAGAGGGCGACCGGCCACACUGGGACUGAGACACGGCCCAGACUCCUACGGGAGGCAGCAGUGGGGAAUAUUGCACAAUGGGCGCAAGCCUGAUGCAGCGACGCCGCGUGAGGGAUGACGGCCUUCGGGUUGUAAACCUCUUUCAGCAGGGAAGAAGCGUGAGUGACGGUACCUGCAGAAGAAGCGCCGGCUAACUACGUGCCAGCAGCCGCGGUAAUACGUAGGGCGCAAGCGUUGUCCGGAAUUAUUGGGCGUAAAGAGCUCGUAGGCGGCUUGUCGCGUCGGAUGUGAAAGCCCGGGGCUUAACUCCGGGUCUGCAUUCGAUACGGGCAGGCUAGAGUUCGGUAGGGGAGAUCGGAAUUCCUGGUGUAGCGGUGAAAUGCGCAGAUAUCAGGAGGAACACCGGUGGCGAAGGCGGAUCUCUGGGCCGAUACUGACGCUGAGGAGCGAAAGCGUGGGGAGCGAACAGGAUUAGAUACCCUGGUAGUCCACGCCGUAAACGUUGGGAACUAGGUGUGGGCGACAUUCCACGUCGUCCGUGCCGCAGCUAACGCAUUAAGUUCCCCGCCUGGGGAGUACGGCCGCAAGGCUAAAACUCAAAGGAAUUGACG